RNAcentral lists this ribosomal RNA (113 nucleotides) under Pteropus alecto (black flying fox). Lineage: Eukaryota; Metazoa; Chordata; Mammalia; Chiroptera; Pteropodidae. The record is from RNAcentral.
AGGUAUGGCCUAAAAAUGUGGAAACUCCCCAUCUGAUCUCGGAAGCUAAGCAGGGUCGGGCCUGGUUAGUACUUGGAUGGGAACCCACCUAGGAAGACCAGGUGCUGUAGGCA